Long non-coding RNA from Octodon degus (degu), 426 nucleotides. RefSeq lists it as uncharacterized. The transcript is spliced from 3 exons. Lineage: Eukaryota; Metazoa; Chordata; Mammalia; Rodentia; Octodontidae. The record is from RefSeq and is a predicted model, not a curated record.
UGCUGCCUGGUUUGACUAGGGACAGAGACUUUGGCCAGAGUGCACUCACUUGCUGCGCUGCCUCGCUCUUGGUGACUGAUGCCCACUCCUGUACCUCCACCCCAGCUGGCCAUGGCAGUGGCUGCAUCUGUCACCCUCCAUGAGCAUCUACAUGUUGGUUGGCUGAUGCACAGGCUUGUCUCACUGAACCUGAGAAGUCCCAACAGUCAUGCCCAGGGCAUCUCAGCGGCCAGUGCAACACCUUGUGCCAGAAUCAUCAGGGUGGGCUAACAAGCUCCACCAGGCUGUACAUCUUUACUGAAUUAUAUACUUUACACUAACAAUAAAAUAAUGAAAUAACUGCAGUAAGCCUACCUUACAAACAUUUAUAAAAGUGCUGCCCAACUAAAACAUUAGCUGUAGGAAGUGUUACCAGGUGAUAAUCAU